RNAcentral lists this ribosomal RNA (327 nucleotides) under uncultured eukaryote. RNAcentral describes it as "partial 18S ribosomal RNA". It matches the Rfam family "Eukaryotic small subunit ribosomal RNA", at positions 1470 to 1796 of the family's 1831-position model. The record is from RNAcentral.
CCCUUAGAUGUUCUGGGCCGCACACGCGCUACACUGAAGGAGGCAGCGUGUACUCCUGGAUCGAAAGAUUUGGGUAACCCGCGAAUCUCCUUCGUGCUAGGGAUUGAGGUUUGCAAUUAUCCUUCAUGAACGAGGAAUUCCCAGUAAGUGCAAGUCAUAAGCUUGCGCUGACUACGUCCCUGCCCUUUGUACACACCGCCCGUCGCUACUACCGAUUGAAUGAUUUAGUGAGGACUUCGGACUGGGACCGAUGCGGCUUUCGGGCUGCGUCGGUAUUCUGGAAAGAUGUCCAAACUGUAUCAUUUAGAGGAAGUAAAAGUCGUANCA